CGGGUGAGUAACACGUGGAUAACCUACCUAUAAGACUGGGAUAACUUCGGGAAACCGGAGCUAAUACCGGAUAAUAUAUUGAACCGCAUGGUUCAAUGGUGAAAGACGGUUCUGCUGUCACUUAUAGAUGGAUCCGCGCCGCAUUAGCUAGUUGGUAAGGUAACGGCUUACCAAGGCAACGAUGCGUAGCCGACCUGAGAGGGUGAUCGGCCACACUGGAACUGAGACACGGUCCAGACUCCUACGGGAGGCAGCAGGC
This 259-nucleotide ribosomal RNA is filed under the name uncultured Staphylococcus sp. RNAcentral describes it as "partial 16S ribosomal RNA". It matches the Rfam family "Bacterial small subunit ribosomal RNA", at positions 103 to 354 of the family's 1533-position model. The record is from RNAcentral. Lineage: Bacteria; Bacillati; Bacillota; Bacilli; Caryophanales; Staphylococcaceae.